RNAcentral lists this long non-coding RNA (1108 nucleotides) under Amborella trichopoda. Its description in RNAcentral is "long non-coding RNA (ATRI_LNC001617)". The record is from RNAcentral. Lineage: Eukaryota; Viridiplantae; Streptophyta; Magnoliopsida; Amborellales; Amborellaceae.
AAGACCCCAUAUUGUACAAAUACAGUCCACCUCGAAACAAUUGUUUCCAAAAAAAAGAAAACAGAAAAAGAAAAGAAGUGUGCAUACGUGGGGAUGGCUCGUGCAAAAUGUGACAGACAAAGGAGUCGUAGCGUGAGCGGAAGAUCAUCACCAACGGAAUACGCUACUCUCUCUCUCUAGAAUUGGCUGCAACGGAAUACGCCACUCUCUCUCUCUAGAAUUGGCUUUAAAGAUAUUUGCUGGUAGCUGAAAGCUUCCCUUAACUGAUCUCUCCUUUCCACCGUCAAACGUUCCUUUCAAGGGUGUCUUUUCCUCCAACUUUCCAAAAUGUGAAUAUCACAUUUUAUGUUUCUUCUCAUUAUCUCACCACAUCCUCAUCAUGGACUUCUCUACACAAUAAUAUGCAAAACCCAACAUCAUUAGUCGUCAUGUAUGCAUUGUAUCAAUCAAGGGAAAAGUAUCUCCAAUGGUUGAGAUCUCAUAUGGCCAUCUCCAAUGGCCCAAAAUUAAUCUGGUAUUUUAUUAUUAUUAUUUAUUGAAAUAAGAUACUUAUAUAAAUUUUGGUUAAAUAAGUUAAUUAUCUGAAUUUUGUUGUGAAUUUUUAUGUAUGAAUAAUAAAAAUGAUUAAAAAAUAAUUUAAAUAAAAAUUACCAAAAUACAUCUAAAUUUAUUAAAAAAAUUUAUUCAAAUUUUUUAUUUAUUCAAUCUUACUCAUAAAAAUGAAACUAAAACUAACAUUUCACAUUGAUAUUAUUUUAAAUAAAAAAUAAAAUUCAUUAUUGACCUUUGGAUGAGCAUAGUUCAAUCUGGACUAUUAAAAGAUGCAUGUGCACCUUUUUAAGCGUUCACAUGACGCAAUCCCAAACCAAUUAUCACUCUCACGUGCUUCUGCAAUUGUAUGCAUGUAAGCAUUCAUGUACUAGGGGUGGCAGCUGGGUGGCUCGGCCCGGCCUUAAAAACUAAGGCCAAGGCUGCAAAAAGUGGCCCAAGGGUUGGGCCACUACGGCCCUAAGGCCGGCCUGGGCUUGAGCCUAUGCCAAAAUAGGGUUGAGUUGGUUUGGGCCAUCCCGACUUUAAUUUUUUUACCUUUUUUUUUCUUUCUUUAAUU